Molecule: long non-coding RNA, 755 nt
Filed under: Panax ginseng (ginseng)
Lineage: Eukaryota; Viridiplantae; Streptophyta; Magnoliopsida; Apiales; Araliaceae
Description: long non-coding RNA (PGIN_LNC015713)
Source: RNAcentral
AGAUGAAGACCCAACAGCCAUUUUCCUGAUUGACCGAAGAGGGUAUCCCGCCCUAUUUGUCUUCGGGAUCAUGGUCGAAGCAGAGUAGAUGAAGACCCAACAACCAUUUUCCUGAUUGACCGAAGAUGGUAUUCUGCCCUAUUGGUCUUCGGGAUUAUGGUCGGAGUAGAUCCAGAAGCCAUAUUCCUAAGAAUCCACUGAGGGCACACCGCCCUGUAGACACUUGUCUUCGGAGAUGCCCGUUUAAGGCUGUCAGGUUCAGAUUCAGCACACAAAAUGCACCCAUAUUCCUAAGCAUCCGAAGAAGGUACCUCAUCCUAGGGGUUCUCGGGACUAUGGCGCAGGCAGACAAAAGAGCAGCACAGGAGGAUAUUCACCCGAGAAUACAAAAAAGGCACUCUGCCCUGAGUGUUCUCGCCGCAGCGAAAGACUCGUCAGCAAAGUAGAUCUAUAAGCCGCACUCCUGGAAAUCCGAACACUUCGGUAAACAUUUCCAAGGUCGGUUGACAUUGUGGUCGGACAAUUCUUUUCUGAAGCUAAUAAUAGUUAAAGAGAAGCUGAGGAGUCCGACAAAGCCGUUGCAGUUCUUCAGCAGAAGCAGAGUUCGUGGACAUUGCAUGCAGAUGGAUAUUCUAUUUCAGACAUCAGUACAACAGGCUAUCAAGAGGUCGAUCGCAAUAACAAUUCCACCGCCGAUGCAUUAUCGAAGUUGGCCACUACAGAUGCUUAUAACUUUGAUGACAGAUGGCGUCUUU